RNAcentral lists this long non-coding RNA (1065 nucleotides) under Parus major (Great Tit). RNAcentral describes it as "lncRNA (ENSPMJG00000011153.1)". The record is from RNAcentral. Lineage: Eukaryota; Metazoa; Chordata; Aves; Passeriformes; Paridae.
AUUUCAGGUUUCCUUGUUUGUUGAUCUAUAAAAUGAAGGUCCUGACAGAAGAAUGAGUUGAUUCAUCCCGUGGUAUGCAAGGCUGCUGACACAGGCAAACCCUCUGGAUGCUGGAGGAACACAAGCCAUGCCUCAUUCUACAGAAGCUCCAGCUCAUUCCAGCAGGACUUUUCAAGAAUUCUAAGGAAUCUAAAGGAUGCCGGGGAACAUUACUGAAAUGCAGAGAUUCACACAAGAGGAUUCCUGAACUACCAAAGGAUAGGUGUUAACAGUCAACCUGGGGAGGAGAGUAUUUCCUCUCAGAUUUCCUCUCAGAUUUCAUGCCUUGGUUUCACCUUGUUUUUAAAUUCCUUUUUUUUUUUUUUUACAUAAGUGAUAUUUUUUUCUCUAUUUGCUUUCCUUUCAGGUAAUUCACAAGCAGUUUGUCUUUGCUCUGCAGAUAGAAUAGACCAAUAUGCUGCACACAAUGAAAUAAGCAACAUGUCAGGAAAAAAGUAGACUAAACAUGGAUGAAAAACCUGAGGGAAAAGUUGUCUACUGUGAAGUAUUCCCAGCAGAUAUCAUUAAACUGUACAAUACAAAUCUCUUUUACGAUCCUUGCAAUGUGGAAUAUGCUUAAAAAAGAAGAGCUAACAUAUUCUUAGAUUAAGAUCUUAUCUAAAUCUUAAAGUCUGUGCUCAGGGUAUGGAGCUGUCUAGUCAUUCAGGUGCCUGCAAAAAAGUCUUGAUCACAGUGGGGAAUAGUGAAACAAAAUGAGAGGAGGAAUGAAACAUUUAAGAUGAUCUUUACUAAAAAAUGGAAUUAAUUCUUCAUUACAUUAUUAAUUCACUACUGAGCAUAAUUAAUUUAUUGGCCAUUAAUGCCACUAUUACCAUUGGGUUCUCUGGAUAAAAGCACAAUGUGACUUUCCUAACACAUUUCAAAUGCUGUAAUCAGACGGUGAAUUGCUCUUCAACAGUGCUAUCCACAUUUAAGCCAUGGAUUAUUUUGCCUCUCUAAACUGCUUUCUGAGGCUUGUAAUAACUUAAGAGACUGCAUGAAUUAUUUUGAAUAGGUCUGAUACAG